Jaculus jaculus (lesser Egyptian jerboa) is the source of this 140-nucleotide small nucleolar RNA. RefSeq annotates it as small nucleolar RNA SNORA48. The record is from RefSeq and is a predicted model, not a curated record. Lineage: Eukaryota; Metazoa; Chordata; Mammalia; Rodentia; Dipodidae. The transcript has a single exon.
ACCUCCUGACCAUGGGCAAAGAACACUUCAUUGAUGGUGGUUUUCUUAUAUCAGGCAGGAACAAAACAAACGGAAGGCCUUUGUUCAACCUAGCUUGAUGAACUUGGUGGCCAAAGAUAUUUCAUGCCUAGAGCACAAUC